UCCCAAGGGUAUGGCUGUUCGCCAUUUAAAGUGGUACGCGAGCUGGGUUUAGAACGUCGUGAGACAGUUCGGUCCCUAUCUGCCGUGGGCGCUGGAGAACUGAGGGGGGCUGCUCCUAGUACGAGAGGACCGGAGUGGACGCAUCACUGGUGUUCGGGUUGUCAUGCCAAUGGCACUGCCCGGUAGCUAAAUGCGGAAGAGAUAAGUGCUGAAAGCAUCUAAGCACGAAACUUGCCCCGAGAUGAGUUCUCCCUGAGACUUAAAGUCUCCUGAAGGAACGUUGAAGACGACGACGUUGAUAGGCCGGGUGUGUAAGCGCAGCGAUGCGUUGAGCUAACCGGUACUAAUGAACCGUGAGGCUUAACCUUACAACGCCGAAG
Molecule: ribosomal RNA, 380 nt
Filed under: Salmonella enterica
Lineage: Bacteria; Pseudomonadati; Pseudomonadota; Gammaproteobacteria; Enterobacterales; Enterobacteriaceae
Also listed under: 2 other names
Description: partial 23S ribosomal RNA
Rfam family: Bacterial large subunit ribosomal RNA
Source: RNAcentral